Molecule: RNA transcript, 4921 nt
Organism: Chelonia mydas (Green sea turtle)
Lineage: Eukaryota; Metazoa; Chordata; Testudines; Cheloniidae
Gene name: inosine-uridine preferring nucleoside hydrolase
Exons: 3
Source: RefSeq, a predicted model, not a curated record
UAAUCAUUUUUGUUGCCCGCCGCUGGAUUUUUUCCAAUUUUUCCACAUCCUUCUUGUAGUGUGGGGCCCAAAACUAGACACAGUACUCCAGAUGAGGCCUCACCAAUGCUGAAUAGACUGGACUUAUCACGUCCCUCGUUCGUGGCCCACCAUACAAUUUCCAUACCCUGAUGUGGCCUGCAGGCCAAAAAGUGUGCCCACUCCGGCCUAGAUGUUGCAUGGAUGACGUCUACUGAAAGAAACUGUUCAGCUGAGAUUCAGAACAUUCUGCUUCAAAGCAGGGAAACCUUCAACCUUACUUAUAAUGCUAAAUGGAAGGCGUCUGCUACUUGGGAUGCCAGUGGUAGCUGUCUUCCUUGACAUCAUUAGUUUCAGCAAUAGUGGGGUAUUUGCUAGCCCUGAAACAGUCUAGACUUUACAUCAGGUCAUAAAGGUCCAUGUAGCAGCAAUGUCUGCACAUCAUCCCUCACUCCUGGGUAAUACUGUGUUUUCCCACUACAUAGUAGCAAGAUUCUUAAAGGCCUCACAUGUUUUUCCCCCAAUGCAGGAGCCCCCCCCUCCCUUUUUGGGACUUCAAUACAGUGUGGCAAUAUAGUAGUUAUUAGCAGCGUUGAUGGGUUCCCACUUCGAACUCUCAGCAACUUGUUCCCCACUAGUCGAUGAAGACUGCCUUUCUGGUGGCCAUUAUGUCAGCUCGCAGGGAAGGGGAGGUUCAGGCCCUUGUGACAUAUUGUCUAUAUAUAGUAUUUCGUAAGGACAGGGUCAUUCUUAGACCUCACUCUGGGUUUCUCCCCAGAUUGUCUCAGAGUUCCGUAUGAGCCAGUCCUUUCAUCUCCUGGUUUUCUUUCCAAAGCCUGAUUAAGUGGGUCUCCAGAUGUUAAAGAGCAUAUUAUGAAUUAGCCAGGAUAGAUCCAUCUAGCCAGACUAGAGCUCAUUCCACGAUAUCUGAGGAGCAGUUAUGUGGAGCUUAAACCACACAUUUACAAGACACUCUUGCUUAGUAAGGGCUCCCACAUCAGAUGUUGGUUUUGUUAGGGCUGUCUUAUAGCCAUUUAAGUAGGACUCCUAAUACCCACCUCCAGGCAGUAGAUAACUGAUUGUCAGUCUCUAAGAGUGGAAUUCAUGUGAACAAUUACUCAAAGAAAGAACAGUUACGUGUGCUACAGUUCGUGUGGUUUUGCAAGAUAUUAUACACAUGGAUUCCACAAGCCACUCUCUUUCCCUGCUAUUAUCGAAUCCUACUACCAUGAGAUUCUUUACUGGUAAAUGAACUGAGGAGUGGUUGAGCCCACUCUGCGUUUAUGCCUUUGGGGGCAAAGGGGCACUUAGGUUGCCAGCACAGCCUAAAUGGACACUGCUGGUCAAAAGUAUCCAAUCUCACAUGCAUGAUGGUGCGCAUGUGACGUAAGAGUGAAAUCCAUGUGGACAGCACAACUCAAAGAAUCACAUUUACUGUAGGGUAAGUAACCGUUCUUUCACAUAACAAACCUGCUUCAUAUUUUCCAUAGUGCUUUAGAAAUAUGAAACACCUUUGUGAGGUAAGCAAAUAUUAUUUUCAUUUUACAGAUAGGGUAAUUGACACGUUAUAUUAGUUUUCCAAAACGCAUAUAUAUGGUAUCGUCUCUAGCAUUUAGUCCAAGUAACCUAGGGAUCAGUUUGCAGAUUCAAUCUUCUAGGUCCUCAAUGUUUUGAACCUGUCUCCACGAUCUAAACCACAAGAGGUUUUCAUGGCAGAAUUAAAAAAGCGUACUCCUUUUCUUUUUCAGAAAAGAAGAUUUGUGGCACCUUAGAGACUAACAAAUUUAUUUGAGCAUAAGCUUUCGUGAGCUACAGCUCACUUCAACGGAUACAUUCAGCUGUAGCUCACGAAAGCUUAUGCUCAAAUAAAUUUGAUAGUCUCUAAGGUGCCACAAGUACUCCUUUUCUUUUUGCGAAUACAGACUAACACGGCUGCUACUCUGAAACCUUCUUUUCUGUGUCUGCUUUCUCACAGAUACCAGUCUGAUUCUUAAACUUUGUUUUUUCCAUUUAACUCUUCCUCCCCUAAGCAUAGUAAUGCAGAUCUUCUUGCAGUUGGUAGUAAUUACUUGCAUGGUAUCUGAUUUUAUGGGGUAGAUCUGGAUACUUACUUUAUUGACUUGUUCUGGUAUUAAUUGGUCUUAGAAAUCUUGAUUACCCUGAACAAGACCAUGCACAUCAGAAAUUGCAUCACUAGACAGCAAUUUCUAUCUGUUUAUUGAGAGAGACAAUGUAGGUGGAGGUUAUAUCUUUUAUUGAACCAACUUCUGUUGGCGAAAAGUACAAGCUUUCGAGUGAAGAGGAGCUCAAAACCUUAUACCUUCCGCCAACAGAAGUUGAUCCAAGCUUUUGAGCUAUGCAAAGCUCCUCUUCGCUUGAAAGCUUGUACUUUCCGCCAGCAGAAGUUGGUUCAAUAAAAGACGUUACCUCACCUAUCUUGUCUCUUUCAUAUCGUUGGACCAGCAGGGCUAUAACAACACUGCAAAUGCCUAUUUUAUUGUAAUAUAGUUUAGACAUCUUUUAUCUAACAAGCUGUGUUUUCAAAUGUUUGUCAACACAUAUUAAUCUCAAAGCCAUUCAUUCCUUGCUAACGGAGCAGACUUACAAUUUUGCUUCACUGCAUUUCACAUUUACCAUAGACGGUUUAAAAAUCAAGUGGUCAGAUACUAUGACAGGUGUGGCCAAACCACAGCUUGUGAGCCGCAUACGACUCUUUUGACAGGUCAGCUGCAGCUUGCAGAGCCUGGGGCUUCACCCCAUGUUGAGGGCGAACUGGCGCUCAUGGCUUCAGCCCUGUGGAGGGGGGGGCCCGAGGCUCUGGGCUUUCCCCUGAAUUGGGGCAAGUCGGCGCUCGCAGUUUCAGCCCCAAUGCGGGGGUGGGGCAGCGGUGCUGCGGCUCAGGGUUUCACCCUACAGCAGGGUGACAAAUAGCUUACAGCUUCCACAUCACUGGCAUGGGGGCACUGAUGCUUGGGGCUUCAGCCCUGCAGGAGGCAAUGAGGCUGUGUUCAGGGCUUCAGCCCUGCAGGAGGAGGCGAGCUGGUGCUGGGGGCUUCAGCCCUGCAGGUGGUGCUAGGCUCCGACUGCAACUGUACAUGCUCAUUAUAACAGGAAACUGCAUCACUGUAGUGCUGUGCAGACCUCGUGUGCUGUGAUCUCCCUGCAUGCUGCACACUACAGGCUGUGUUUCCUGUUCAUAAGUUGCAUUUGAAUAGUUUUAGAUUUAAGUGUUAACUCUAAAUUAAUUUCAUGGAUGACAAUGACAUCUUCAAACUAUAAGAAAUGCAUGUACGAAGAAGAAGACCAAAGUUUUCAGCCAGAAUGGGAGGAAGAUUUUGCAUUUACUAGUAAAGAUGGCAACCCCCUGUGCCUAAUCUGCAAUGCCUUGUGCUCUCACUACAAAGUGAGCAACUUGAAACAACACACAAUAACUUUUUGUCUAAGUACCCUCCUAGAUCACAAUUAAGGAAAAACAAGCUAACCACAUUAAAAUUAUGCCUCAACAGUCAACAGACACUACUUUCUCUGCUCGGUAAGGAAGUUGACACAAUGGCUGAAGCUAGUUUUGUUAUGGCAUGGAAUAUCGCUCCUGCUAAAUGUCCAUGUUGUGAUGGAGAAUUUGUUAAGAAGAAUAUUGCAGAAGUGGUUGCAAUUUUAAAUCCAAGUAACACUAAACUUCAGUGAUUAAUACAGCAAAUUCCAAUUUCAUGCCACAUUAUGGAGAGGCAGAUCUCCCAGAUCAGUGACGGUGUUGCAAGCAACAUGCAAAACGAUCUAAAGAAUUCUCUAGCGUUCAGCCUAGCUGUUGAUGAAUCCACAGAUAUUCAAGAUAAACCGCAGCUGGCGAUAUUUUUUCGCUAUGUUUCCACAGAUGUAAUUGUGAAAGAAGAAAUGUUGGACUUAGUGGCGCUAAAAAAAACAACCCAUGGUGUUGACAAAGAAUGCACUUGACGAAGCAUUGACAAAUGCUGAUGUACUACUGGAUAAACUUGUCAGUGUUGCAAUGGAUGGAACACCUGCGGUGAUGGGGGAAAAAGUAGGCCUGAUUGGACUCUUGAAGAGCAAUCCCAAAUUUCCAGAAUUUCUCCUUGUUCAUUACAUCAUCCAUCAUGAACAUCUCACAGGCAGAUACUUCAAGUAUGAAAAUGUUACAAAAAUAGUCCCAGAAAUUGUCAAUUUCAUCCACUCAAAUGGGAAGACUCAUCGACAGUUCAAAAAUUUCACUGAAGAGCUGGAUCUUGAAGACAAACCCAACAAUGUGUCUUUCUACUGUAUUGUGAGGUGGUUAUCAACCAGCAAUGUCUUAAAUAGGUUUGUGGAACUGUUGGAGCCUAUCAGUGCUUUCAUGGAAGAAAAGGAAAAGUCCUAUCCACAACUGAGAGAUGAGCAGUGGAUGCAGGAUCUUAUGUUUGUCACUGAUAUUAUACAGCAUCUGCAAACUCUCAAUUUGGCAAUCCAAGGGAAGGAUAAGAUUAUUUCUGACCUUACUCAGAGCAUCUUCAGCUUCCAGAACAAGUUAAAGUUUCUGAAAAGAGACAUAGUGUCAAGAGACAUCAACCACUUUACCUAUUUCAAGAGUAGGGUAAACACAUUUCCUGAAAUCAAAGUAGAAGAUCACAAACUCGAGGAAUACAAAGAUUCCAGUUUAUCAAGGUGCUUCUGCUCCCUUACUUGGUGGUCCUGUGGAAUGGGCUUUGUAUCAUGGAAGAGAUGGUUUGGGUGAUGUUCCUGAUCCGAAUGCUCCAGGAUUAGACCAUCUACAGAAAGAACAUGCUGUGAUGGCAAUGUUAAGAAUUGUUAGUGAGAAGCCUGGUCAGGAAUUCUAUCAUGAGUUGGUUAAUCAGGACACCAAAAAAGCUAAAUUCAUGGAGAAAAUAUCUGCUCACAGCAUAAAAUUCACAGA